GACUCCGUGGCCUAAUGGAUAAGGCGUCUGACUUCGAAUCAGAAGAUUGCGGGUUCGAGUCCCUGUCGGGGUCG
RNAcentral lists this transfer RNA (74 nucleotides) under Saccoglossus kowalevskii. RNAcentral's name for it is "tRNA-Arg". It matches the Rfam family "tRNA". Rfam says of the family: Transfer RNA (tRNA) molecules are approximately 80 nucleotides in length. Their secondary structure includes four short double-helical elements and three loops (D, anti-codon, and T loops). Lineage: Eukaryota; Metazoa; Hemichordata; Enteropneusta; Harrimaniidae. The record is from RNAcentral.